Molecule: ribosomal RNA, 614 nt
Filed under: Diplodia spegazziniana
Lineage: Eukaryota; Fungi; Ascomycota; Dothideomycetes; Botryosphaeriales; Botryosphaeriaceae
Description: eukaryotic LSU rRNA
Rfam family: Eukaryotic large subunit ribosomal RNA
Source: RNAcentral
GCAUAUCAAUAAGCGGAGGAAAAGAAACCAACUGGGAUUGCCUUAGUAACGGCGAGUGAAGCGGCAAUAGCUCAAAUUUGAAAGCGGGCCCCUUUGGGGUCCGCGUUGUAAUUUGUAGAGGAUGAUUCGGCGAGGGCUCCCGUCUAAGUCCCCUGGAACGGGGCGUCAUAGAGGGUGAGAAUCCCGUAUGUGAUGGGUUGCCUUAGCCAUGUGAAUCUCCUUCGACGAGUCGAGUUGUUUGGGAAUGCAGCUCUAAAUGGGAGGUAAAUUUCUUCUAAAGCUAAAUACCGGCCAGAGACCGAUAGCGCACAAGUAGAGUGAUCGAAAGAUGAAAAGCACUUUGGAAAGAGAGUUAAAAAGUACGUGAAAUUGUUGAAAGGGAAGCGCUUGCAGCCAGACUUGUCCGCAGUUGCUCAGCCGGUCUCCUGACCGGCGUACUCUUCUGCGGCCAGGCCAGCAUCAGUUCGGGCGGUCGGAUAAAGACCCUAGGAAUGUAGCUCCUCUCGGGGAGUGUUAUAGCCUGGGGUGGAAUGCGGCCAGCCUGGACUGAGGAUCUCGCUUCGGCUAGGAUGCUGGCGUAAUGGCUGUAAGCGGCCCGUCUUGAAACACGGACC